AACUCUGAGCAUUGGAUCACUCGGCUCAUGAGUCGGUGAAGAACGCAGCCAGCUGCGAGACUUGGUGUGCAUUGCAGGACACAUUGAGCACUGGUUUUUCGAACGCGCAUUGCCGUCUCGGGUGAUAGCCGGGACCUCGCCUAUCUGAGAGUCG
RNAcentral lists this ribosomal RNA (154 nucleotides) under Stegodyphus mimosarum. RNAcentral describes it as "5.8S ribosomal RNA". It matches the Rfam family "5.8S ribosomal RNA". Rfam says of the family: 5.8S ribosomal RNA (5.8S rRNA) is a component of the large subunit of the eukaryotic ribosome. It is transcribed by RNA polymerase I as part of the 45S precursor that also contains 18S and 28S rRNA. Functionally, it is thought that 5.8S rRNA may be involved in ribosome translocation. Lineage: Eukaryota; Metazoa; Arthropoda; Arachnida; Araneae; Eresidae. The record is from Rfam by way of RNAcentral.